GAAGCAGCCACCCUUUAAAGAAAGCGUAAUAGCUCACUAGUCGAGUCGGCCUGCGCGGAAGAUGUAACGGGGCUAAAACUAUGUGCCGAAGCUGCGGAUUUGACAUUAGUCAAGUGGUAGGGGAGCGUUCUGUAAGCCGAUGAAGGUGUAUUGAGAAGUAUGCUGGAGGUAUCAGAAGUGCGAAUGCUGACGUGAGUAACGACAAAACGGGUGAAAAACCCGUUCGCCGAAAGACCAAGGGUUCCAGUCCAACGUUAANNNNNNNNNNNNNNNNNNNNNNNNNNNNNUCGGGGCUGGGUGAGUCGACCCCUAAGGCGAGGCCGAAAGGCGUAGUCGAUGGGAAAAUGGUUAAUAUUCCAUUACUUCUGUGUAAUGCGAUGAGAGGACGGAGAAGGCUAAAUCAGCCUGGCGUUGGUUGUCCAGGUGAAAGGAUGUAGGCAUGUAUCUUAGGCAAAUCCGGGGUACUCUAUGCUGAGAUCUGAUAGCAAGCUGUACUUGUACAGCGAAGUGGUUGAUGCCAUGCUUCCAGGAAAAGUCUCUAAGCUUCAGUUACACAGGAAUCGUACCCGAAACCGACACAGGUGGUCAGGUCGAGUAGACCAAGGCGCUUGAGAGAACUCUGCUGAAGGAACUAGGCAAAAUGGUACCGUAACUUCGGGAGAAGGUACGCUGUUGUUGGUGAUGGAACUCGCUUCCUGAGCUGACGACAGCCGCAGAAACCAGGCCGCUGCAACUGUUUAUUAAAAACAUAGCACUCUGCAAACACGAAAGUGGACGUAUAGGGUGUGAUGCCUGCCCGGUGCUGGAAGGUUAAUUGAUGGGGUUAGCGUAAGCGAAGCUCUUGAUCGAAGCCCCAGUAAACGGCGGCCGUAACUAUAACGGUCCUAAGGUAGCGAAAUUCCUUGUCGGGUAAGUUCCGACCUGCACGAAUGGCAUAAUGAUGGCGGCGCUGUCUCCAGCAGAGGCUCAGUGAAAUCGAAAUCGCUGUGAAGAUGCAGUGUACCCGCGGCUAGACGGAAAGACCCCGUGAACCUUUACUGCAGCUUGACACUGAACUUUGACCUUACUUGUGUAGGAUAGGUGGGAGGCUUUGAAGCUGGAACGCUAGUUCCAGUGGAGCCGUCCUUGAAAUACCACCCUGGUAAUGUUGAGGUUCUAACUCUGUCCCGUGAUCCGGGACGAGGACCGUGUCUGGUGGGUAGUUUGACUGGGGCGGUCUCCUCCUAAAGAGUAACGGAGGAGUACGAAGGUGCGCUCAGCGUGGUCGGAAAUCACGCGUAGAGUAUAAAGGCAAAAGCGCGCUUAACUGCGAGACCCACAAGUCGAGCAGGUACGAAAGUAGGUCUUAGUGAUCCGGUGGUUCUGUAUGGAAGGGCCAUCGCUCAACGGAUAAAAGGUACUCUGGGGAUAACAGGCUGAUACCGCCCAAGAGUUCAUAUCGACGGCGGUGUUUGGCACCUCGAUGUCGGCUCAUCUCAUCCUGGGGCUGAAGCAGGUCCCAAGGGUAUGGCUGUUCGCCAUUUAAAGAGGUACGCGAGCUGGGUUUAGAACGUCGUGAGACAGUUCGGUCCCUAUCUACCGUGGGCGCUGGAAAUUUGAGAGGAUCUGCUCCUAGUACGAGAGGACCAGAGUGGACGAACCUCUGGUGUACCGGUUGUGACGCCAGUCGCAUCGCCGGGUAGCUAUGUUCGGAAGGGAUAACCGCUGAAAGCAUCUAAGCGGGAAGCCUACCUCAAGAUAAGAUUUCCCUAGGACUUUAUGUCCUCUAAAGAGCCGUUCGAGACUAGGACGUUGAUAGGUUGGAUGUGGAAGCAUAGUGAUAUGUGAAGCUGACCAAUACUAAUUGCUCGUGAGGCUUGACUAUACAACACCCAAGCAGUUG
Molecule: ribosomal RNA, 1882 nt
Filed under: Acinetobacter baumannii
Lineage: Bacteria; Pseudomonadati; Pseudomonadota; Gammaproteobacteria; Moraxellales; Moraxellaceae
Description: partial 23S ribosomal RNA
Rfam family: Bacterial large subunit ribosomal RNA
Source: RNAcentral